UUACAAUGAAGAGUUUGAUCCUGGCUCAGGAUGAACGC
Molecule: ribosomal RNA, 38 nt
Filed under: Bacteroides luti
Lineage: Bacteria; Pseudomonadati; Bacteroidota; Bacteroidia; Bacteroidales; Bacteroidaceae
Description: 16S rRNA. Bacterial SSU
Source: RNAcentral